This 322-nucleotide ribosomal RNA is filed under the name uncultured eukaryote. Its description in RNAcentral is "partial 18S ribosomal RNA". It matches the Rfam family "Eukaryotic small subunit ribosomal RNA", at positions 1470 to 1796 of the family's 1831-position model. The record is from RNAcentral.
CCCUUAGAUGUUCUGGGCCGCACGCGUGCUACACUGAGUAAUUCAAUGGGUAAGGGAACGCGAGAGCAUUACCUAAUCUUGAAAUUUGCUCGUGAUGGGGAUCGACGGUUGCAAUUUUCCGUCGUGAACGAGGAAUACCUUGUAGGCGCAUGUCAUCAUCAUGCGCCGAAUACGUCCCUGCCCUUUGUACACACCGCCCGUCGCUCCUACCGAUUGAGUGAUCCGGUGAGGCUCUGGGACCUGGACGGAAAGAGCGUUUCGCUUGUUCUGUUUGGGAAACUUGGUCGAACCUUAUCAUUUAGAGGAAGGAGAAGUCGUAACA